UACGUAGGGUGCAAGCGUUGUCCGGAAUUAUUGGGCGUAAAGAGCUCGUAGGCGGUUUGUCGCGUCUGCUGUGAAAACCCGAGGCUCAACCUCGGGCCUGCAGUGGGUACGGGCAGACUAGAGUGCGGUAGGGGAGAAUGGAACUCCUGGUGUAGCGGUGGAAUGCGCAGAUAUCAGGAAGAACACCGAUGGCGAAGGCAGUUCUCUGGGCCGUAACUGACGCUGAGGAGCGAAAGCGUGGGGAGCGAACAGG
This 253-nucleotide ribosomal RNA is filed under the name uncultured bacterium. RNAcentral's name for it is "partial 16S ribosomal RNA". It matches the Rfam family "Bacterial small subunit ribosomal RNA", at positions 524 to 776 of the family's 1533-position model. The record is from RNAcentral.